GACGAACGCUGGCGGCGUGCUUAACACAUGCAAGUCGAGCGGUAAGGCCCUUUCGGGGGUACACGAGCGGCGAACGGGUGAGUAACACGUGGGUGACCUGCCCCCACGCUCUGGGAGUAAGCCUCGGGAACCGGGUCGUAAUACCGGAUAUGACUCCAUGACGCAUGUUGUGGGGUGGGAAAGACCUUGUGCGGCUGAGGAUGGGCCCGCGGCCUAUCAGCUUGUUGGUGGGGUGAUGGCCACCAA
This 246-nucleotide ribosomal RNA is filed under the name uncultured bacterium. RNAcentral describes it as "partial 16S ribosomal RNA". It matches the Rfam family "Bacterial small subunit ribosomal RNA", at positions 28 to 271 of the family's 1533-position model. The record is from RNAcentral.